This 31-nucleotide non-coding RNA is filed under the name Mus musculus (house mouse). Lineage: Eukaryota; Metazoa; Chordata; Mammalia; Rodentia; Muridae. The record is from RNAcentral.
UGCAUUCAACAGCAACCCUCGAAGGCCUCCU